This 253-nucleotide ribosomal RNA is filed under the name uncultured bacterium. Its description in RNAcentral is "partial 16S ribosomal RNA". It matches the Rfam family "Bacterial small subunit ribosomal RNA", at positions 524 to 776 of the family's 1533-position model. The record is from RNAcentral.
UACGGGGGGUGCAAGCGUUAUUUGGAAUCAUUGGGCGUAAAGGGCGCGUAGGCGGUCUUUUAAGUCAGAUGUGAAAGCCCUCGGCUUAACCGAGGAAGUGCAUUUGAUACUAAGAGACUUGAGUAUGGGAGAGGGAAGCGGAAUUCCUGGUGUAGCGGUGAAAUGCGUAGAUAUCAGGAGGAACACCGGUGGCGAAGGCGGCUUCCUGGACCAAUACUGACGCUGAGGCGCGAAGGCGUGGGGAGCAAACUGG